UUUCAACACCUCCAUUUAGUGAAAGCAAGAUAAUGCACCGAUUCAAGACCAUUCCAUCUCUUGAUCAGACACUGAUGGGUCACUAUGGAGUCAAUACAGUCAGGACCAGAGGAAUUUGCCUCUUCCCACUAGUUCUAAUCAGUGGUUAGCCUGGAAGCAAUGGCAUCUGGGUGUCACAGAUGUGACCAAGAAGGAACAGUUCAGUGAAUGCAUACUGAAUUGAUACGGAACACGAUAUCCCUUCGAACCGCACCAGUGAAGCGCUUUUGGCAAGAAGCAACCCCUACAGGAGCUGUGGCACCGGGAUUUCAGCAGUUACAUGGCCAGAGAAACUGACUGAGGGGCUGACAACCCUGCAGUAACAUAUGUGCUGUGCGGCAAAAGCCAGAGCAAUAAUGAGACUGUGCAACCCGUCCAUAGAAAAACAGCUUUCAUCUGAAGAAUUCUCUUGGGAACCCCUUGCAGUACCCAUUAAAGUACAAAGAAACCUCUUCAAGCCAGAUGCCUCCUCCAGUCUUGUGCACCCAGUCCCAAGAGCACAGCCUGACUUUCAUCUUACUGAGCUCUAUCCAACAAUAAACACUGCAACAGCCUGUACCUCGUCUUCUAUUGAAGGCUCAGAGAAAUGAAGCUCUUUCUUCCAGGAAAUUUUACAUCUCCUCCAGCACUGGAUGAAAACACUGCUGGAUGCUGGCCAAGCUCUGACAGUGUUCAAAGGCCUGGGACUUCUCACAGCUGGGGGUUAAAGAGUUGCUCACAAAGCCAGCCAUCCUACUGCCUCUCACACAAAUGCACCAGCAGACCCCUCUCAUCCUGGCAGAUGGAGUGCUUUGCACCACACUUUGAAAUGAGCAGAGUGACAUCCUUCAGAUGAAAAGAGAGUGGGUGAAUCUAAACAUAAUUAGAAUAUGUCCUAAAGUCCUUGAAGAAACAUUUGCACUGGCUGUCAGCCCAGAUCCCACGUGAUGCACAUGGCACUGGAAUAGGCUGGAACAUGCUGCAGCAUUACAAAACAGCAGGUCUUCAUUAGUGUGGAAUCUUCCCUGUCUCCAGAACUGUACACAUUGCACCCAAACAGUUUAAAUAAAGCAGAAUUACAAUGAUGCAUAAAGGGAGUGCCACGGAGGUCAUCUCGUUGGAUAUUAGUAAUUGAUACAUCACCUCUCACUAUCUUACUCUCAAAAUUAUUAAAGUUGCCUUGGAUACAGACAGAAUCUUGGCAACAGAAAUGGGGUAAGAGACACUACUGAAAUAACAAUGUAAAAUGAAACCAAGGAGUACCAUGAAGAGUUUCUACAAAGAUAGAUGGGAAUAAUUACUACGCUUGGUUUGAUUUAAAAUAUUCUUUGAUGAAGAAGUGAGAAUUAAAAGUGUGCUCAUGAAAACUGCAGUGGGAGAAUGAUGUAAAAAUCACCAGACCUAGAGAAAUGCUGCAAUGAGAUUAACUGUAGUUUCUUACCUUUAGUCAGUGCUGGACUCCAGUGUUGCAGACAAACCGGAGGAAGAGGCAAACACCAAGAGUGAAUUCAGCUGGGGAAACAUGCAGAGCAGCAUACCUGAGAAAAACAAUUCAAACCACAAGAAUUCAGUGCACAAGGACACACAGCAAACAGCAGUCUUAGAAGUGUUGUGGAAAUAUCGUGUUAAGACAGAAAUUAGUGACACAACAUAGCAGGGAAAAAUAAUAAAGCCCUGCUAGGCUGUAUUACAAAGAGGCAUUGCACCAGAAGGGGAUGAGGUGCCUCCAGCUUCUCUCUCCACCCCACUGGAGAGAAAAAGUAAUGUUUUGUUCUGGACAUCUUGUCAUAAAGGGGCCAAAAAAACCCCUUGAAACUUAGACAAGUGUCCAGAGAAGAUGCUGAUAUCAAAAAAUUUUGAACUCUAGGAACCAGGUUAAAGGAUUGAAAAUUGCAUGGCAAGAUAUUUCUAGGACUGCGUUGCAGUCAUGCCCAGGUCCUCUGCACAUUUCAGGGAAGACAGCUCAGCUGAAAGAAUGUUUCUCUAAUUAUUAAGGGCCUGACUGUGCAAUUGCAUUUUUGAAAACAUCAGUGAUUUCUGUGCUCUCAGCAAAUGGUACCUCUCUGGUCAUUUCAUAGCCACACUAAUCAAGAAAAAUUGGUGUUAAACCUCUCACUACAGUACAUGCUACAUUGACAGCCACCAUUACUAAAUCUAUCAGCUCUCUUGUGCACAUUCUUUAUCUAUUCCACCAUUUCACUCUGCAUAUGAGUUUGAAAUGUAUCAAAGAAGAAAACACAGGAAACUAGUUAGUAACAAAACAGGGGAGCAACCACUGGAAACACCCACCUCUACCUUUCUGGAUGAUGGGAAAAUUUCAGGAAGUGGCAUGGGUAGAAGUGAAACUUCUCAUGCUUUCCCAUAAUGGAUGGGAGCUGCCAUAUCUGACUGUAACACCACACUCAGCUAUGCUGGUUUUAGCACUAGAAGCAGAUGACAGUAUGAGGCUGCCAAGCUCAGGAUGGUUCAUGAGAGACAUACUUGUGCCUUCUUCACAGGUCUCUGAGCCAAAGAGAAUCAACCAUUCCUCUCACCCACAGGCACACAUAAGCCAAAAAUGCAGUUUUCCUAUCAUGUGCAUACCUCUGAGAGUCUGAGGAGAAGACACAAAAAUCAUAGUCUUGAAGUAUCCACCUGAAAGCACACUAAGGGCAUUUGACUUCCUAGUGUACUUAAAACAGGUUCUGGGAACAUUUGUGGAAAAAAUCAUUAAGCUACCUCACUCUCUGGAGUUUUCUCAGCAACAAAUGGGGGACAAUUCACUGGCCCAGAAUUUUAAAUGGGAAGAAAAAAACUGCAAACCUCAACAAGAAUGACUUUUAAAUGACUGCUCAGGCUGAUGAAGCACGCCACUUGGUACAAACCCUGCAGAAUGAAGUUACACGUACCUUGUCUUCUCAGGCACAUACAUACAUUGGUGUAUCUACUCCUACCUCUGUUUAUCAGUCACAGACACAAAUGCCCAAUGCAACGUUCAUACAACUGCAGUGGGAGACAGCACUUUAAUGUCUUCGAGUAGCUAGCUUAAGAUUAUCAUCUCCAGCUAACAAUGGUCAUUGUUUUAACAAAUGAUUUGUUUUUUAAGACAUACAGUGUGUCACUAACUCUAGUGAAAGUGUUAGAGCCCUCCACACUGUUUUUUCUUGUAACCUUUUCACUUAUCCCUAGUUUAUCCUCAAUGGUACAUCUAGCAGCCAGUGCAGCAUUUGCAAGCUCUGUGCUUUACAAUCUAGGAAUUCCACUUGGGUAAAUGCAUUCUAUACAAACUUAUUGCAAAAUUAAGCAUCAUCUCUAUAUUAAAACCACUUGGAAAAAAAAACCAACAACAAAACCAAACAAAAAAGUCCAAAAAACCCAGAAAUCAACUGGGUAGCAAAAGUACUAAGCAGAGACAGGUUGCUUACAUAAACUGAAAAAAACCCCUAACCCUCUACUAGGACUUCUACCAUCUAAGAAAGGAAAGAAACUCUUCCCUCAUUAAUACUUGAGGUGAAAAAAAUUUCCAAAGUGGGACAGUGUUGAAUACUUCAGAUUAAAUAAAACAGUGGAAUGUAUUAAUGACUAUUUUUAAACUUUAAGAACGUUUCAAAACAGAAGCUGUUCUAAAAUAAGAACUUUUCUUUUGUUCAGAGUGUCAAACUGGAAAGCUUCCAAAGCCCUUCCAAACAGUCACACAAGCAAUUCUGCUGGGAAGACAUCCUCUAUCGCACCUAACCAGUCUUCUGCUAAGGAGACUAUACAGGACACCUCCUGGGGACCACAAGGGAUUGUCCGUGGGGCUUCCACCCCCACACCAGCCUCCUUGGCCUGUGCCUCAUCUUGAGGGGUGCUCCUCUCCAUGGUACCUGAAGUCAACGCUGUGAGAAGGAAAGUGGAAGGAAACCUCUUCCUCAUCCCUUAGUGCAGACAAGGGCCAGCCAGCACCUCCAGAGCCUGCAAGGGCAGAUCACAUGCACAGGACUCAAAUGAUGGUCCCAGUACCUCAGUGAGCAAGGCACCCUGGGGAGUAAUUAGAUCUGAUGAUAAUAUAAUAGUCAAUGGUUUGUCUAACGUAUCUUUCCAUGUCAUGUUGAACCAAGGGGCUGCUCGAAAGAAGAGGAAUGGCAAACACCAAUUAUCCAUAAGCAAAACUUUACAGAGAAGCAAAUAUUA
Myiozetetes cayanensis is the source of this 4170-nucleotide long non-coding RNA. RefSeq lists it as uncharacterized. The record is from RefSeq and is a predicted model, not a curated record. Lineage: Eukaryota; Metazoa; Chordata; Aves; Passeriformes; Tyrannidae. The transcript is spliced from 4 exons.